UACGAAGGGGGCUAGCGUUGCUCGGAAUUACUGGGCGUAAAGCGCACGUAGGCGGCUUUCUAAGUCGGGGUGAAAUCCUGGAGCUCAACUCCAGAACUGCCUUCGAUACUGGAGAGCGUCGAGUCCGGGAGAGGUGAGUGGAACUGCGAGUGUAGAGGUGAAAUUCGUAGAUAUUCGCAAGAACACCAGUGGCGAAGGCGGCUCACUGGCCCGGUACUGACGCUGAGGUGCGAAAGCGUGGGAGCAACGGGAU
RNAcentral lists this ribosomal RNA (253 nucleotides) under uncultured bacterium. RNAcentral's name for it is "partial 16S ribosomal RNA". It matches the Rfam family "Bacterial small subunit ribosomal RNA", at positions 524 to 778 of the family's 1533-position model. The record is from RNAcentral.